AUUCAUACAAAAUAAUAAGAAUUAUCUAUUUGCAGAGAAAUAAGUUUAUUAAAGUAAUGAACUUUUGCUUACAAUCGCAAAAUAAACAACUAAUGAGGCCAUAGCGCCGGUGGCGUGAUUAAUACUUAAUUCCGCUUAAUUCCGCUAGGGCAAGAAACAGCUGUCAAUGUACGUACAAUGCAAAUAUAGGUUAUGUGCAGUGUAAUGUAUUUAAUUUACAAAUUUUAAGUGAUGCAACAAUCAAGUGGAUAAUAUUAUUUAUUAAUUUUAAUUUGUUUUAUUUUCUCUCUAUAGUGAUCACCAAUUCGGAAUGAAAAUAGUUAAAUUUGACGGCUUGCUGUGCGAUUCUGCUAUGUCUUAACUUUACAAUGACAUUAUUCUACAUUAAAUUUGCAAUAUCCAUUAAUUUCAAACAUUCUAUUUAUCCAGUUACUAUAACAAACAAUAGUAAGUAAAUUACCAAUGUUCUGUUCAGUUUAAAUAAUUUACCCAGUGAAAUAUCUAUACUAUAUUAUUAUUUAACUCAUAUCAUGUGUGUAGACCUCAGCUUAGAUUUAAAAAUUUUUUAAAUUACAUAUAUAGACUUUUUAAAUAGUUUUACAUAAGUAUGCAGCUCUACAUUUUAAAUUCAAACCCAAGACCAUGACACUCCAAAGAAGAAGUCCCCAUUACACCAUGAGACAAAUGGAUAUAUAUUUCAUUUUCUUAAGGUUAACGCUAUAAAAAUUUGUGUCAUCUAAUUCCUCCUUUGUAAAGACUUCAAGUGAAAUAUUGUGCAAAUAAAGUGCAGAUGCAAUGACAAGAUAUCAUCAAAACUAGAAACCGUUUAAAAGUAAAGACAACAAUCUGAUAGAGCACAAUAUUUUCAAUAAGGAUAAGAAGAAUCCGACAAUACCAUGCAGUAGUAUUCUAUCAAAAGAAUAGAAAAAGGAAUGUGUGCAUCCUUGUUAUUACAAAUUUAAAAGACAUAUAGAAAAUACAUUAUAAUAAGAAUUCUUUUCUUGUACAAAAUGUAUUGCCAAGCCACGUGCCAGAGAUGCCUUGUGAAUCAUUAUGCAAAUAGAAUGCAGCAGCAGUGAAAAGGAUCUAUUAAAAGGCAAUCAUUAUUAUCUUGUAUUAGGAAGAAACCAAUAUUGUAAUACAAUGUUGGAUAUAUUUAUUCAAAGCAUUCAUGUACUUAUUCUUUCUGCAUUGGUGUUCAAUUAAUUUACUGAAAAAGGGAGCAUAUGAUUUUUCAUAAUUUUUCACUAUAAUAAGCAGAAUACAACAGCACUGUAAUCAUGAAAGAUUUUGGAAGACGCUAAGAAAAGUGUUCCGUUCUUAAAUUAGAAAAAAAACCAUGUCUUAUAAAAUUCUAUGAAAAGAAUUGAAGAAGGAAUGCAUCCUAGUUAUUACAA
Long non-coding RNA from Polistes canadensis, 1397 nucleotides. RefSeq lists it as uncharacterized. The record is from RefSeq and is a predicted model, not a curated record. The transcript is spliced from 3 exons. NCBI's taxonomy places the organism in Eukaryota, Metazoa, Arthropoda, Insecta, Hymenoptera, Vespidae.